UACGAAGGGGGCUAGCGUUAUUCGGAAUCACUGGACGUAAAGCGCACGUAGGCGGCUUUUUAAGUCAGGGGUGAAAUCCUGGAGCUCAACUCCAGAACUGCCUUUGAUACUGGGAAGCUCGAGUCCGGGAGAGGUGAGUGGAACUCCGAGUGUAGAGGUGAAAUUCGUAGAUAUUCGGAAGAACACCAGUGGCGAAGGCGGCUCACUGGCCCGGUACUGACGCUGAGGUGCGAAAGCGUGGGGAGCAAACAGG
Molecule: ribosomal RNA, 253 nt
Filed under: uncultured bacterium
Lineage: Bacteria
Description: partial 16S ribosomal RNA
Rfam family: Bacterial small subunit ribosomal RNA
Source: RNAcentral